UACGGAGGAUGCAAGCGUUAUCCGGAAUGAUUGGGCGUAAAGCGUCCGCAGGUGGCUGUGUAAGUCUGCUGUUAAAGAGUGAGGCUCAACCUCAUAAAGGCAGUGGAAACUACAUGGCUAGAGUGCGUUCGGGGCAGAGGGAAUUCCUGGUGUAGCGGUGAAAUGCGUAGAGAUCAGGAAGAACACCGGUGGCGAAAGCGCUCUGCUAGGCCGCAACUGACACUGAGGGACGAAAGCUAGGGGAGCGAACAGG
This 253-nucleotide ribosomal RNA is filed under the name uncultured bacterium. Its description in RNAcentral is "partial 16S ribosomal RNA". It matches the Rfam family "Bacterial small subunit ribosomal RNA", at positions 524 to 776 of the family's 1533-position model. The record is from RNAcentral.